CAGUAACAGUACAAGCAGAGCCCUGUUACUGUUAAAGGCAGAGCUUUUAAUGCUGAUGAAAUGGAGAUUACUAUGGCUGAGGCAGGACCUCACAGCUCAGAAGUGACAGCCCAUUCCAACACCUUGGACAUCAGAUUCCUAAACGCCUGAAUGUUUUCCCGCCAACAAGGACUUGGGCCAGAUGAUUUGUGACUUGAGGACUGAAUUCUAAUAGUUAAAAAAGUAACUGAAAGAUAUUUAAAUGAAUUAGAACGGAAUGAAAAAUAAACUUGAACUUGACUUAUAAUAUUAUUUUAAAAUUUGGGGGUGCUAUGUAGCAAAAUAAAAGUCAGUGUAAGCAGUGAGAAAAAGCUAAUUCAGAAAUGAAUCGAAACUUGGUUUGUUUUUUUUACCACCAGAGAAUAGGGAAAUAUUAGUCAAAGAGAGGGCAUGGAAGAAGGGACAUCUAAUGUGAACGAACUUCAUACUUACUACUUAAUGUAGAUAAAUAAAGGCAUUCUUUAUUAAAUCA
RNAcentral lists this small RNA (511 nucleotides) under Pan troglodytes (chimpanzee). Its description in RNAcentral is "processed transcript". Lineage: Eukaryota; Metazoa; Chordata; Mammalia; Primates; Hominidae. The record is from RNAcentral.